AACAGAGUGCCUGAUUAAAGGAUUAUCUUGAUAGGAUAAAUAAAGUAAUUUAAAAUUACCAUCAUUA
RNAcentral lists this transfer RNA (67 nucleotides) under Phlaeoba antennata. Its description in RNAcentral is "tRNA-Ile". The record is from RNAcentral. Lineage: Eukaryota; Metazoa; Arthropoda; Insecta; Orthoptera; Acrididae.